Molecule: long non-coding RNA, 237 nt
Filed under: Homo sapiens (human)
Lineage: Eukaryota; Metazoa; Chordata; Mammalia; Primates; Hominidae
Description: PREDICTED lncRNA (TCONS_00099612)
Source: RNAcentral
CUUGAAGUUGACCGGGUCCACCCGAAGCUUGUGCGCGUGCAGGUCGCUCAGGGCGGACAGCGCGUUGGGCAUGUCGCUCAGGGCGGACAGCGCGUUGGGCAUGUCGUCCACGUGCGCCACGGCGUUGGUCAGCGCGUCGGCCACCUUCUUGCCGUGGCCCUUAACCUGGGCAGAGCCGUGGCUCAGGUCGAAGUGCGGGAAGUAGGUCUUGGUGGUGGGGAAGGACAGGAACAUCCU